Molecule: ribosomal RNA, 243 nt
Filed under: uncultured bacterium
Lineage: Bacteria
Description: partial 16S ribosomal RNA
Rfam family: Bacterial small subunit ribosomal RNA
Source: RNAcentral
GAUCCUGGCUCAGAUUGAACGCUGGCGGCAGGCUUAACACAUGCAAGUCGAACGGUAACAUAAAGAAGCUUGCUUCUUUGAUGACGAGUGGCGGACGGGUGAGUAAUGCUUGGGAAUCUAGCUUAUGGAGGGGGAUAACUACGGGAAACUGUAGCUAAUACCGCGUAGUAUCGAGAGAUGAAAGUGUGGGACCUUCGGGCCACAUGCCAUAGGGUGAGCCCAAGUGGGAUUAGGUAGUUGGUG